GCUGCCAAGCCAAAACGGCAUAAACGCCAAAAUGACCACUUUUUAGUUAGCUGCACCAAAAAAUAGGAUUUUAAUUUCCGCACCAGACAGUCAACGCGGUAUAACCCCAGACAAAGUGAAAUAGGGGUAAUAUUGGUUUAAAAUUUUUAUAAACGCCAGUCUAGUCACACACGUGAACACCGACGUGAACACCGAUUGACAUAAUCGCCAGUGCCCGUAAGAUUAUCAUUGUGUACAGUUCGGUCCAGUAAUAAUAGUAAAGAUGAAUAGCAGAAGUAAAAAAAUAAUGGCCUUAAUAAAUGACAAUAAAACAUAUACCGAAGCAGUAAAAAUGAUAUACAGACUGACAAUAAUUCCCCUAUAUUCCUCUUAGAGGUUUAUGAUAUUUAUAAUGCCAACAUUGCAGAAGCUUUUAGCAAUGACAUUAUCAUCUUUGAGGAACCACCAGACGUUGCAGUAGAAGAAGAAAUAUUUAGUCACGAUCUCACAUCAUGUUUCAACUUAGCAGCAGAUAAUGGUUUGGGUGCCAGUAUAAGUAGUGAUCAAAAUAAAGAAAAUACAAGCAAUCAAAUCAAUAAUGAUGUUGAACCAAAUAUUGACUGUGAUUAUGAAUUAGAAUCCGCUAUUAUUAGAUAUCCGCUCCUAUUUGCGAAUUAUUUACUUUUAAGUAUUUCAUCCUAGCAUCAAAAACAUGUUUAAAGAAUUUAGGGUAUUGUUUUUAACUUAGAAUGUAUUUUUGGUUUAAAAAAAUAAAGCCUAUCAAAAAUC
Long non-coding RNA from Diabrotica virgifera virgifera (western corn rootworm), 768 nucleotides. RefSeq lists it as uncharacterized. The transcript is spliced from 2 exons. The record is from RefSeq and is a predicted model, not a curated record. NCBI's taxonomy places the organism in Eukaryota, Metazoa, Arthropoda, Insecta, Coleoptera, Chrysomelidae.